UUGUAAGGUGGCUGAUAAUAGGCGGUGGAUUGUAAUUCCAUUUAUGGGGUGUGAGCCCUCUCUUUACA
Molecule: transfer RNA, 68 nt
Filed under: Diporiphora bilineata
Lineage: Eukaryota; Metazoa; Chordata; Lepidosauria; Squamata; Agamidae
Description: tRNA-Tyr
Source: RNAcentral